RNAcentral lists this ribosomal RNA (253 nucleotides) under uncultured bacterium. Its description in RNAcentral is "partial 16S ribosomal RNA". It matches the Rfam family "Bacterial small subunit ribosomal RNA", at positions 524 to 776 of the family's 1533-position model. The record is from RNAcentral.
UACGGAGGGGGCUAGCGUUGUUCGGAAUUACUGGGCGUAAAGCGCGCGUAGGCGGCCCGGUAAGUCCGUUGUGAAAGUCGAAGGCUCAACCUUCGAAAGCCGAUGGAUACUGCCGGGCUAGAGUACGGAAGAGGCGAGUGGAAUUCCUGGUGUAGCGGUGGAAUGCGCAGAUAUCAGGAGGAACACCAAUAGCGAAGGCAGCUCGCUGGGACGUUACUGACGCUGAGGCGCGAAAGCGUGGGGAGCGAACAGG